UACGGAAGGCAGCAGUGGGGAAUAUUGCACAAUGGGCGAAAGCCUGAUGCAGCUAUGCCGCGUGUAUGAAGAAGGCCUUAGGGUUGUAAAGUACUUUCAUCGGGGAGGAAAAAACAAAACUAAUAAUUUUAUUUCUUGACGUUACCCGAAAAAGAAGCACCGGCUAACUCCGUGCCAGCAGCCGCGGUAAUACGGAGGGUGCUAGCGUUAAUCAGAAUUACUGGGCGUAAAGAGCACGUAGGUGGUUUUUUUAAAGUCAGAUGUGAAAUCCCUGGGCUUUAACCUAGGAACUGCAUUUUGAAACUGAAAUACUAGAGUAUCGUAGAGGGAGGUAGAAUUCUAGGUGUAGCGGUGAAAUGCGUAGAUAUCUGGAGGAAUACCUGUGGCGAAAGCGGCCUCCUAAACGAAUACUGACACUGAGGUGCGAAAGCGUGGGGAGCGAAACAGGGAUUAGAUACC
Molecule: ribosomal RNA, 459 nt
Filed under: uncultured bacterium
Lineage: Bacteria
Description: bacterial SSU rRNA
Rfam family: Bacterial small subunit ribosomal RNA
Source: RNAcentral